This 520-nucleotide non-coding RNA is filed under the name uncultured Glomus. Its description in RNAcentral is "SSU rRNA". It matches the Rfam family "Eukaryotic small subunit ribosomal RNA", at positions 569 to 1084 of the family's 1831-position model. The record is from RNAcentral. RNAcentral also lists the same sequence under 1 other name. Lineage: Eukaryota; Fungi; Glomeromycota; Glomeromycetes; Glomerales; Glomeraceae.
AGCAGCCGCGGUAAUUCCAGCUCCAAUAGCGUAUAUUAAAGUUGUUGCAGUUAAAAAGCUCGUAGUUGAAUUUCGGGAUUGACACAUCGGUCGUGCCUUAAGGGGUAUGAACUGGUGUAGUCAAUUUCUCACCUUCUGGAGAACCGCGAUGCCCUUAAUUGGGUGUCGCGGGGAACCAGGACCUUUACUUUGAAAAAAUUAGAGUGUUUAAAGCAGGCAUUUUGCUUGAAUACAUUAGCAUGGAAUAAUAAAAUAGGACGGCAUGAUUCUAUUUUGUUGGUUUCUAGGAUCACCGUAAUGAUUAAUAGGGAUAGUUGGGGGCAUUAGUAUUCAAUUGUCAGAGGUGAAAUUCUUGGAUUUAUUGAAGACUAACUACUGCGAAAGCAUUUGCCAAGGAUGUUUUCAUUAAUCAAGAACGAAAGUUAGGGGAUCGAAGACGAUCAGAUACCGUCGUAGUCUUAACCAUAAACUAUGCCGACUAGGAAUCAGACGAUGUUAAUUUUUUAAUGACUCGUUUGGU